This is a long non-coding RNA of Ruditapes philippinarum (Manila clam), 2076 nucleotides long. RefSeq lists it as uncharacterized. Lineage: Eukaryota; Metazoa; Mollusca; Bivalvia; Venerida; Veneridae. The transcript has 5 exons. The record is from RefSeq and is a predicted model, not a curated record.
AUUUCGCCCCGCGCCCCCGCCGUUUUAUUUCUUAAUUCUCGCUCCGCGCCCUCGCGGGGCGAAGUUUUAUUUAUUAAACUUCGCUGCGCGCCCCCGCUAAUAAGCGUGUUUUCGCUCCGCGACCCCGCCAUUUUAACUUGUAAAUUCUCGACUUUUCGCUUGGCGGGGUGGCGGGACGAAAACACAUAUGGCACAAAUCAGCCACCAUAGUGGUACGUGUUGAUCAUGCGUUACACAUAUGGAUUAUAAAUGAUUGCAUACAUGUAUAUCCGUUGCUAUUAAUAACCACGAUCAUAAAGAAAUAACAAGUAAUAUUCUAAUCUCUAGCAUGCCAAUCAAAGUUCAUAAUGAACAAUGUCUUUCGUCCGCUCAUUCAUAAGUGAUAUACAUUUCUGGUAGUUCAUAAGAAUAUCUUGUCAUCAUAUGUGUACUAGUUCAUCUUCACUUGCUGCAUUUCUUGCUUGGACGCCCUGUGAUGCUUUGCAUCAAUGCUUUUCUUGUAUAUAUUUAUAAUAUAUUUAUAGUAUAUAUGGAUGAAUUUUUUAAAAACAAAUUUCCUUUGUUGAUUUAUUGAAGAUAAGAUAUUUUAAAAACAUUUUGAAUGAAAAAAUAUUUUAUUACUGAAAAAAAAAAUUUAUAAAAAAUAAGUGGGCGUGGUCAUGUACAUGUAUACUAUCCAAGCCACGCACCGAUUGCCUGUGCAGCCAACAUUAUUUUUGGAGGGAAAGUCGUACCGAAGAGAUGGAAGGAUUGGUGUUCCCUGAUAGGAAAAUCUACAGUACUUGGAAGUUGCCAGGUUCUUCUAAUUGUAUAAUAGAAUUAUAAUAAUAUAUUCCAAUAUUUUGUGUCUGGAGACCCCUUUGAAUAGAAGAGGUUGGAGGGUCCUGAUCCUGCAUCAUAAUUGUGGUGGACACACAAGGAAGGAUGGCUGUGUAAUAUUGGCAAAGUGUAUAUACAUGUUGGAAUGUGGCAUGAUGGAGCAUUUGCCGACUAUGGAGUUGCCUCAAAUGUGAUGAUGGAUGUGAUCUUGCAGACCAUGGAGUUGCAUCAAAUGUGAUGAUGGAUGUGAUCUUGCAGACCAUGGAGUUGCAUCAAAUGUGAUGAUGGAUGUGAUCUUGCAGACCAUGGAGUUGCAUCAAAUGUGAUGAUGGAUGUGAUCUUGCAGACCAUGGAGUUGCAUCAAAUGUGAUGAUGGAUGUGAUCUUGCAGACCAUGGAGUUGCAUCAAAUGUGAUGAUGGAUGUGAUCUUGCAGACCAUGGAGUUGCAUCAAAUGUGAUGAUGGAUGUGAUCUUGCAGACCAUGGAGUUGCACCAAAUAUGAUGAUGGAUGUUAUCUUGCAGACCAUGGAGUUGCAUCAAAUGUGAUGAUGGAUGGGAUCUUGCAGACCAUGGAGUUGCAUUAAAUGUGAUGAUGGAUAUGAUCUUUCAGACCAUGGAGUUGCAUCAAAUGUGAUGAUGGAUGGAUCUUGCAGACAAUGGAGUUGCAUCAAAUGUGAUGAUGGAUGUUAUCUUGCAGACUAUGGAGUUGCAUCAAAUGUGAUGAUGGAUGUUAUGUUGCAGAAUCAUGGAGUUGCAUCAAAUGUGAUGAUGGAUGUUAUCUUGCAGACCAUGGAGUUGCAUCAAAUGUGAUGAUGGAUGGGAUCUUGCAGACCAUGGAGUUGCAUCAAAUGUGAUGAUGGAUGGGAUCUUGCAGACCAUGGAGUUGCAUCAAAUGUGAUAAUGGAUAGAUGUCAGAAUGUUGCUGGAUUGCUGUCGAAAUUUUGAUGUUGGAUUUACGUCAACUGUGGAUGGGUUGUGACAUUGGCAAAGUGUAUGUGUUGGAAAGUGGGCAUGAUGGGGCAAUAUGUCAGGUGGAAGAGCAGUCACAUGGUACAAAGAUGGCAGCAUCUGAAGAAAUUUUGCUGGACACCUUGCUUAGAAUAACAAAAAUGCAGCAAUAAAAACAGAAAACCCUUGCAAUAUGUUGGCUGGAUUGCUAGAUUGAUGUCGGAAGUUGUGAUGGGUGAUUUAUGUCGGAAUGUGGAUUGUUGUGACAUUGGUAAAGUGUGAUUGUGGCUGGAAAGUGCCAUGAUGGAU